RNAcentral lists this ribosomal RNA (1254 nucleotides) under metagenome. Its description in RNAcentral is "bacterial SSU rRNA". It matches the Rfam family "Eukaryotic small subunit ribosomal RNA", at positions 145 to 1378 of the family's 1831-position model. The record is from RNAcentral.
AACGGUGCUAAAGUACCGCUAAUACGUGCUAAGAUCCGUGACUUGCCGCAAGGCGGGAAGCGGUGCACUUGUUGGCUAUGGACCAGUCGCGGCGCGUUCGUUUCAGGGCGUGUCGUUUCGGGUGAAUUACAGCAAUUUUGCGAAUCGCAUGGCGCAAGCCGGCGAUGUUUCGGAUGAGUCUUCGCCCUGUUAGAUGUCGACGGUAGUGUCGUGGACUACCGUGUCUUUGAUGGGUGACGGGGGAUUAGGGUCCGAUUCCGGAGAGGACGCCUGAGAAACGGCGACCAGAGCUAAGGCUCGCAGCAGGCGCGAAAAUUACCCAAUGGGGACACCCUGAGGUAGUGACGAGAAAUAGCAAGGAGAGCGGCUAUGCCGUCCUUUAUCGGAAUGAGACAAAUUUAAACACCUGAACGAGGAGCAAAUCGAGGGCAAGUCUGGUGCCAGCAGCCGCGGUAAUUCCAGCUCGAUGAGUGUAUUUUAUUGUUGUUGCAGUUAAAAAGCCCGUAGUUGGAGUUAAAGGCGCGUCGCCGAGGCCACAGUAGUGGACCGAGGCGCACGUGUCUUUCUAUUACCAGUUCUCACCGGGGCGAUUGAUUUCGUCGCGGGCCGUUCGCGGCGCGAGGUCUGGUUAGUAUACUGUGAACAAAUCCAAGUGUUCCACGCAGGCAUUAUCGCCCGCAGGUUUCAGCACAGCAUAUUGAAACAUGCCAAGGCAGUUUUUACUGGUCUUAACUGCCAGGGAAUGAUAAAGACGAACGAUUGGCGUUGAUUGUACUCUCGUGGGGACUGGUGAAAUGGGGUGAUCCCGAGAAGACAACCGGCUGCGAAGGCGUUCAACGAGCGCGUUUCGAUUAAUCAAGGACGAAAGCGAGGGGAGCGAAGACGAUUAGAGACCGUUGUAGUCCUCGCCAUAAACGAUGCCGACUGGGUCUAGGAUUGAGUUUAUUUGACCUCUUCUGGGCUCGAAGGGCAACCUUUGAGUUUUUGGGUUCUGGGGAGAGUACGGCCGCAAGACUGAAAUUUAAAGAAAUUGACGGAAGGGCACCACCAGGGGUGGAACUUGCGGUUUAAUUUGACCCAACACGGGGAAACUUACGCGGUCCGGACAAAGUUAGGAUGAACAGACUGAAGCUCUUUUCUGAUUCUUUGGGUGGUGGUGCAUGGCCGUUCUUAGUUAGUGGCGUGAGUUGUCUGCUUGAUUGCGAUAACUAGCGAGACCGUUGCUGUUAAAUAGAGAGGCCAAGUCGCUUUGCG